RNAcentral lists this ribosomal RNA (465 nucleotides) under uncultured bacterium. Its description in RNAcentral is "partial 16S ribosomal RNA". It matches the Rfam family "Bacterial small subunit ribosomal RNA", at positions 28 to 507 of the family's 1533-position model. The record is from RNAcentral.
GACGAACGCUGGCGGCGUGCUUGACACAUGCAAGUCGAACGGAAAGGCCCCUUUGGGGGUACUCGAGUGGCGAACGGGUGAGUAACACGUGAGUAACCUGCCCUUGACUUCGGGAUAACUUCAGGAAACUGGGGCUAAUACCGGAUAGGAAUCCUUGCUGCAUGGUGGGGGUUGGAAAGCUUCGGCGGUUUUGGAUGGACUCGCGGCUUAUCAGCUUGUUGGUGGGGUAGUGGCUUACCAAGGCUUUGACGGGUAGCCGGCCUGAGAGGGCGACCGGCCACAUUGGGACUGAGAUACGGCCCAGACUCCUACGGGAGGCAGCAGUGGGGAAUAUUGCACAAUGGGCGGAAGCCUGAUGCAGCAACGCCGCGUGCGGGAUGACGGCCUUCGGGUUGUAAACCGCUUUCAGCAGGGGCGAAGCUUGUGGUGACGGUACCUGCAGAAGAAGCACCGGCUAACUACGUG